AAUUAUCGAUAUAGUCUCCUUGUUUUAACUAUUGUUGGGAGUUUGGAAGCUGUCACCCAUGUUGUACUGUAUGCAUGUUUGCAUGUGUGACAUUAUUUUCGGUUACCUUGCGAGUUAUAGCGAAAGAAACUACCUGGCAGCCCAUAACGGGCAGCUAGCUAAUUUAUGCUAGGUGACAACAGCUGGUUCAUUAACGUUGUAUUAGUUCUAUGCAUUGACGUUGCGAGACCCGCGUGCGUCUGAUUUCAAAUGUAUCCAGGACAGUCGUAGAUACCAUCAGUAGCUCUACACACAUCAAUGACACAGGGGAAGUAAAGUUACCGCUGAUUUUUGGUAUUGCUCCGUCUGACUGUGUGUGUACGGCCACAGUAAAUGUUGAUUAGCCGGUGGAACUUUUCGGUUUGAAAAAAGACGAGACGUGAGACUGCGUGACAGAGGGGGCUGUGUGUGCUUGUGUAUGGUUGCGCGUUUGAAUGGGUGCGUCGUGUGUAGAACUAGAUGCUGCAGUUUGCAGCUGCUUUGAUUCAUGUCGUGGGUCACUUACCAAUGUAUGUAGGCCUAAUUGGCUAUGACCUUUGAAAUAGUUGAAAGUAAAUCCCAGUAGUAUCUAGUGAAACACACAUGCAAACGCCCUUCUGUCCCUCAUUCCCUCAAACUCGAUCUUCUACAUUUGUUGUGUAAAAAGGACAUAGCAAGUUUUUUGUAUCAAUGAUCACUUUAGGAUAUUCCAGUGCAUUUACAUUCAAUAUAUACUGUACCUUGAGUGAGGUAGAAAUGCAUAUUGUUGCAAAUAUAAAUACUGUUAAUUUGUUAUUUUUUGUAAUUAAUCAUUUACUGAAUUUCUUUGUAGAAUAUGUUACUAUUAUUUGGGUUUGUGUUCUCUGCAUAACUGUCUCUUUCACCUAUAUUAAUUCCUCAGCAUUCAAGAUGUUUGUAGGGUCCUCACCUCAGCUACCUCUCACAAUGUGCCCCUGAAAAAGAAAUUCAAGACGUUUGGGUCCUCAGCUCAACUGACCAAGACCUUUGCUCAUUGAAGGCAUGAAGUAAUUUGUGAUGCCCCCACGAUUGCAGUUUUUAAAUCCAGAUGGCUUGCUCUUUUUAACAUGUGCAAGAGCUGGAUGGUCUUUCAACAACACUGCUCCGGGUCUUCAGCAAGAAAGGUGCUUCUCAUGCAAGGAAGAUACAGAGGAUCCUGGUGCCCAUGACUCAGUUCUAACUACAGCUGGCUUUACACACAUCAGUCCUGGGCAAUGAUAUAACAGUCUUUUGCAGACUGACAACAUUGAUGUGAAGAGGGAGUGCAUGCUGAGGAGCUGACGGUCUACCUGAAUGAAGAGCCAGACAAAGUGGAUGUUGAUCUGGACGGUCCAGCUGAAACGUAUUGUCUUCGUGUGCGUGUGAUCGGCAGAGAGUCCUCAACGACAUUGGUAAUGUACCUGUGGCCAUUGCAGUGUUUGUUUUGGUUUAUGCUCUUAAUCUCUGUUACCUUCCAGAAUGGAAGUACACUUUCAAAUUUCUGUUUCAUUCUAACCGUCUGUUUCAUCAGUUUUUGCACUGCUUUUAAAUGUACACUGUGUAAGAUUCUUAGUUGUUUAUUUCCAGAAUUCAUGCUACCCAUUCACUAAUGUUACCUUUUUCAUGAAUACUUAGCACCACCAUUAGGGUGCAUCAGUUGCCCCCUAUGAAAAGAU
This is a long non-coding RNA of Engraulis encrasicolus (European anchovy), 1691 nucleotides long. RefSeq lists it as uncharacterized. The transcript has 6 exons. The record is from RefSeq and is a predicted model, not a curated record. Lineage: Eukaryota; Metazoa; Chordata; Actinopteri; Clupeiformes; Engraulidae.